AGUGAACGCUGGCGGUAGGCCUAACACAUGCAAGUCGAACGGCAGCACAGUAAGAGCUUGCUCUUACGGGUGGCGAGUGGCGGACGGGUGAGGAAUACAUCGGAAUCUACUUUUUCGUGGGGGAUAACGUAGGGAAACUUACGCUAAUACCGCAUACGACCUACGGGUGAAAGCAGGGGAUCUUCGGACCUUGCGCGAUUGAAUGAGCCGAUGUCGGAUUAGCUAGUUGGCGGGGUAAAGGCCCACCAAGGCGACGAUCCGUAGCUGGUCUGAGAGGAUGAUCAGCCACACUGGAACUGAGACACGGUCAAGACUCCUACGGGAGGCAGCAGUGGGGAAUAUUGGACAAUGGGCGCAAGCCUGAUCCAGCCAUACCGCGUGGGUGAAGAAGGCCUUCGGGUUGUAAAGCCCUUUUGUUGGGAAAGAAAAGCAGAAGGUUAAUACCCCGCUGUUCUGACGGUACCAAAAGAAUAAGCACCGGCUAACUUCGUG
Molecule: ribosomal RNA, 492 nt
Filed under: uncultured bacterium
Lineage: Bacteria
Description: partial 16S ribosomal RNA
Rfam family: Bacterial small subunit ribosomal RNA
Source: RNAcentral